GACGAACGCUGGCGGCGUGCUUAACACAUGCAAGUCGAACGGAAAGGCCCUGCUUUUGUGGGGUGCUCGAGUGGCGAACGGGUGAGUAACACGUGAGUAACCUGCCCUUGACUUUGGGAUAACUUCAGGAAACUGGGGCUAAUACCGGAUAGGAGCUCCUGCUGCAUGGAGGGGGUUGGAAAGUUUCGGCGGUUGGGGAUGGACUCGCGGCUUAUCAGCUUGUUGGUGGGGUAGUGGCUUACCAAGGCUUUGACGGGUAGCCGGCCUGAGAGGGUGACCGGCCACAUUGGGAGUGAGAUACGGCCCAGACUCCUACGGGAGGCAGCAGUGGGGAAUAUUGCACAAUGGGCGGAAGCCUGAUGCAGCAACGCCGCGUGCGGGAUAACGGCCUUCGGGUUGUAGCCCGCUUUCGCCUGUGACGAAGCGUGAGUGACGGUAAUGGGUAAAGAGGCACCGGCUAACUACGAG
This 468-nucleotide ribosomal RNA is filed under the name uncultured bacterium. Its description in RNAcentral is "partial 16S ribosomal RNA". It matches the Rfam family "Bacterial small subunit ribosomal RNA", at positions 28 to 507 of the family's 1533-position model. The record is from RNAcentral.